RNAcentral lists this ribosomal RNA (253 nucleotides) under uncultured bacterium. Its description in RNAcentral is "partial 16S ribosomal RNA". It matches the Rfam family "Bacterial small subunit ribosomal RNA", at positions 524 to 776 of the family's 1533-position model. The record is from RNAcentral.
UACGUAGGGACCGAGCGUUGUCCGGAAUCAUUGGGCGUAAAGAGCGUGUAGGCGGCUCGCUAAGUCUUGCGUGAAAUCUCGGGGCUCAACCCCGAGCGGUCGUGAGAAACUGGCGGGCUAGAGUGCGGGAGAGGAGAGUGGAAUUCCUGGUGUAGCGGUGAAAUGCGCAGAUAUCAGGAAGAACACCCGUGGCGAAGGCGGCUCUCUGGGAAGGUACUGACGCUGAGACGCGAAAGCGUGGGGAGCGAACAGG